Molecule: transfer RNA, 75 nt
Filed under: Planctomycetales bacterium
Lineage: Bacteria; Pseudomonadati; Planctomycetota; Planctomycetia; Planctomycetales
Also listed under: 1 other name
Description: tRNA-Glu
Rfam family: tRNA
About the family: Transfer RNA (tRNA) molecules are approximately 80 nucleotides in length. Their secondary structure includes four short double-helical elements and three loops (D, anti-codon, and T loops).
Source: RNAcentral
GGCCCCGUCGUCUAGUCUGGCUUAGGACACUGGCCUUUCACGCCUGUAACACGGGUUCAAAUCCCGUCGGGGUCA